RNAcentral lists this ribosomal RNA (497 nucleotides) under uncultured bacterium. Its description in RNAcentral is "partial 16S ribosomal RNA". It matches the Rfam family "Bacterial small subunit ribosomal RNA", at positions 28 to 507 of the family's 1533-position model. The record is from RNAcentral.
GAUGAACGCUGGCGGCGUGCCUAAUACAUGCAAGUCGAGCGAACAGACCAGGAGCUUGCUCUUCUGACGUUAGCGGCGGACGGGUGAGUAACACGUGGAUAACCUACCUAUAAGACUGUGAUAACUUCGGGAAACCGGAGCUAAUACCGGAUACUAUAUUUAACCUCAUGGUUCCAUAGUGAAAGACGGUUUUGCUUUCACUUAUAGAUGGAUUCGGGCCGCAUUAGCUAUUUGGUAAGGUAACGGCUUACCAAGGCGACGAUGCGAAGCCGACCUGAGAGGGGGGUAGGCCACACUGGAACUGAGCCACGGUACAGACUCCAACGGGAGGCAGCAGUAGGGAAUCUUCCGCAAGGGGAGAAAGCCUGACGGAGCAACGCCGCGUGGGGGAUAAAGGGAUUCGGAUAGGAAAACUAAGUUAUUAGGGAAGAACAAAUGUGUAAGUAACUAUGCACGUAUUGAAGGUACCUAAUCAGAAAGCCACGGCUAACUACGUG